UUUCACUUGCCAGAGGCUGGGGUUACGACACCUCCUGGCGUCUUUCACGCGGCGCUGUGUGGUGACAGAAGCUCACUGGUAUGGCUGCAUACUAUUCUCCAACUGAUGCACUCAAUGUCUGCUGCUGGUAAUUCUCGUGGUAGCGUCGAUCCCUCCGACCCACGCUGAUUGUCUGAAGCGGCCCAACCGGGCAGGGAUCAUGGAGCAUCAGCUCUACACCCGAUAACUUGCCAGAGACCACUGCUGCUUUGCCUUUUGGCUAAAUUGCUUUGCUUUGCUUUAGUUAAACUAACCCAGUUCGGGCUUCGCCUUGCCUUGGUUAAACUAUGUUUGGGUUUGCUUGUUUUGGAUGAACUAACCAUGUUGCUUUACUUCGCCUUUGCUAAACCCACCCUGUUUCGGUCUGCUUUGUCGUUGGCCUCCCGACAUUGCUCAUUGAGUUUCACUGUGGGCCUCCUACUAGGUCAAGAAAUAUUUUAACUGUAUGUACGAGAGACAGGCCGUACUUCUUGUCUGUUUUCUUUAUUUUGUGAUUUGGUUAAACAGUUUGUCGGUGUUUUAUUAGUUUUUGGUUAAAAUGUAAUUGUAUUCUCCUGUUUUGGUUUAGUUUCAUUUAUUUUAGACCUGUUGCCCUCCUCUUCCCCCCCUUCAGGUGCGGAGUCUGCGGUGGUGGAUUGGUGUCCCAGGUGGUGGUGUCCCUCUCAUGUUAUGUUUUUGCAUGUUUGAGUUUGCUUCACUUUUAGUUUCACGUGUGGUGCUCCUUGGGUCCCCUUUUCUUUGGAUCGUCCAUCCUCGUAAGUCUCAGCCCUGAU
Gasterosteus aculeatus aculeatus (three-spined stickleback) is the source of this 812-nucleotide non-coding RNA. Lineage: Eukaryota; Metazoa; Chordata; Actinopteri; Perciformes; Gasterosteidae. The record is from RefSeq and is a predicted model, not a curated record.